Drosophila pseudoobscura is the source of this 2790-nucleotide long non-coding RNA. RefSeq lists it as uncharacterized. The record is from RefSeq and is a predicted model, not a curated record. Lineage: Eukaryota; Metazoa; Arthropoda; Insecta; Diptera; Drosophilidae. The transcript has 2 exons.
AACAGACGAAUUGUUGCGUCGAUAGAUACAGGGUGGCACCUGUGGGUUGCUUCUGUGGUAAUGUGUGCAUAUGUGCACUGCACCAUCUUACUGUCUCCAACUUACUUUGGGCAACCAAGGUCUUUUGCACUUGGGCAAUCUAUGCAUGUACAUAGUUGGGUUCUCUGUUAUUUGAGUUUCGCAUGAUAUAUUUGCGAAUCUAAAUAUUCCUUUAAGAAGCGCGUUUUGCAGAUUUGAAUGCCCACGCUGGAAGUAAAUAUGUUGAUUUCACAAGUUUUUUUGUCAAUGAACGAUUACUGGUCUGAGUGGUGCACUUAAAUUGAUUUUUAUAACUCCCGAGAAGGUUCGAUAGGGGGGGGCUAUGUAUGUUCUUGGUUUACAUCUGACUCGAAUUGUGUAUAUCAACAUAGUGUAAGGGCCUAGUAUGUCUAGAUAACAUGAUAAGAGAUGGGAGAAUAUAUGAUCGACGAAUAUAAAUUAUUAUGACUGUUAACAUUCUUACGGAAGAUUGUACAAAAUCCUGAGUAUCACCAAGUUUAGUUUUUAAGUCGGCCCACUAGUACUUGUGAGUAUUAUUCGAAUAAUUUUAAAUGUAAUCCUUGAUUGCUGACGCAACUUAAGGGGAAUUGACUCACGGACCGAUCUAGUGCUCUCCACCCUUUGCUGUUUGUGAAGUUGAAUUUUGGGACUAGUCUAUACAUUGAAAGUUGCAAAAGAUCCUGGUCUUACAAUUUAAAAAUUUUGAAUAGUCAGGAGUGGCGGUAAAGUCUUUUGGCAGGCGCGCAGGUAGUCUUUUUCCUCGUCCGUUCCUUAAUAAAGAUUUAAAUCCAAACAAAUUUUAUGGUUUUUGUUUAAAAAAAAAAAUUAACUCUAAACUUGCAGUUAUUGCACAACUGAGUGAAUAACAUGAUAGUCUUAUGACAUAGCUAUCGCGAAACACUUAAUAUUUUGCUCAGCAGCGGUAGACUGCCGAUUUUCUAUCGCCCUUGCACCGAAGGCUGAAAUCGUUGGAAAAUAUUGCGAAUCUAUUUUGUGCUCAUCAGGGAGGAUUGGUUUCCUUCAAAUUUCGGAGCUUUUGGUUGAAUCACACAAACCAUAUCGGGCAAAAUGGCCAAGAACCUUGAAAACUUAAAUGGGUAUUAUUAAUGAUCGUAUUUCAUAAGACUUCAAGGUAACGCUGAGUUGACGGCUAUGACACAAAUUAUAAAUUAUUUUAUUUAGUUUUAUUUCUGAAUAUGUUUCCUUUUGUGUAUGUGAGUUAUUUUCAAAUGAACACGUACCCUUUUUUUAAUUUAAAUGCCAAUUUUUUUUGUCGAAACAUUUUAAUUGGUUUACUUUGUAAUGUAAAUUGCUAAUUACAAAGAUACACUUUUCAUUUAUUUUAUUCGCUUUCGGUAUAUAUAUGUAGAUAGUAGGCAAAAUUAUAAACAUUUAACUAAAAUAUCUAUGUAUUUGUGCAUUUUUGAGAAAUAGUAUCGUAUUUAGAAACAAAUUAAAAAUUGUAUAUAAAUUUUAAUUUUUAUAUUUGCAGGGAAAAUAUUCUGAUACUAACAUAUUUAAGAGUCUGCGUAGACUUAUAAUUUCUGGGUUAAAAUUAUAGAAAUAAAAUAAAGCAUUUAACUUAUGGUAUGUAGCUUUGUUUUAUUUUAAGCUAAAUUUGCAGAAAUGCAUACAUUAUUAAGUUUUGAGCUUACGGUUUAUAAAAAAAUACGAAUCAUAUGGGAGUGCAUCGAGCGUAACAUUGUGACGUACUUAUAAAAUUACACAGCUCAAAAAAAUGCAAUGGUCUAAUACACUGCAGACUUUAAAAUACCAUUAACACACCAAUACGUCAUAAGUAUACGAAGGUUGAAAACAAUGUUCUUGUGAUGAAUUUGAGUUUAGUUCAAUACACGUAUGUUUGUGAUUUCUUGCUGAAAUUUAUUACAUUUAUGAUAGCUUUAACUGCUUGCAAGCUGUUUUUCUAUCGGACCCAAUCCGUGCAUCCGUGCAUACUGUAAAAAUUAUACAACAGUAUGUUUAAAUCUGUAUCUGCAAGUUCGCGACAACAGCAUCAAAUAAUUUUAAAUAUUAAGAAAUCCAUCUAACCGUGAUGCAUGGCCGACAUGGGUUAUUCUGCUGGGAAAAAAGGCAAAAACUAUAAAAACUGUAAUUAAUAUAUUUGUAUGAGGAAAAAUCCUUUCCUUGCAGAUAAAAAUAAGAUAUUUAAAAACUGGAAAACCUAAUAAUAAAUGGGGAAAACAAUUGAACAAAAUGUUUGUGUAUGAUAGUAUCUAUAUUUUCAAGCGCUGUUAUUGCAAAAUGUGUUUUAUUUUACUUUUCCGCCCAUCACUUCCGCUAUUCUAUGUAUGCAUAUGUAUGUAUGUAUAAGAUUUUGUUAAACAUUUAUGAAUCGUUUAUGUAUUGUAGGAUUUAAAGUGGUUUUUCAAUUUAUUGUUGUAGCUUAUAUGGCCAUCAUAUUAUAUGUAAAUAGUUGUUCACUAAUACAUAAUUAUGUUAUUUAAAUCAUUAUUAAUUUUUUUGUAUAUAAAUUAAGGACUUAAACAUAAUAAGAAAAUUUUUUAUAAAGUGUUUUGUUUACUUGUUUCAUUACUUGAUUUUUAAAGUUUUUUACGCAAUAAUUUUAAUAUACCUUUAGUUUUUGCUGUGAUUUUUAUAUUUUGUAAAUGCUUUAACUUUAUUUGACUUCGCUUCAUCAGGAUUUACUUUCUGAAGUUAGGUUCAUACGUGAAAAAUUGUAUUUUGUUUGAAGUCAUACAUGCCUUCAAUGAUACUGUUUCAAUGUGCAAA